Molecule: ribosomal RNA, 117 nt
Filed under: Danio rerio (zebrafish)
Lineage: Eukaryota; Metazoa; Chordata; Actinopteri; Cypriniformes; Danionidae
Source: RNAcentral
GGCGGCAGCUAACUCUCUGCAACUCUCACAUGGUCACCCACCAAAGCUAAGCAGGGCUGUGCCCGGUCAGUAUACCUGGAUGGGAGACCACAUGGGAAAGCUUGUUUGCUGGUGUUA